Molecule: ribosomal RNA, 500 nt
Filed under: uncultured Glomeromycotina
Lineage: Eukaryota; Fungi; Glomeromycota
Description: partial small subunit ribosomal RNA
Rfam family: Eukaryotic small subunit ribosomal RNA
Source: RNAcentral
CCAAUAGCGUAUAUUAAAGUUGUUGCAGUUAAAAAGCUCGUAGUUGAAUUUCGGGAUCAAUAUGUCGGUCGUGCCUCCGGUACGUACUGGCGUCAUUGGUUUCUCCCUUCUGAUGAACCACGAUGUCAUUAAUUUGGUGUCAUGGGGAAUCAGGACUGUUACUUUGAAAAAAUUAGAGUGUUUAAAGCAGGCUCACGCUUGAAUACAUUAGCAUGGAAUAAUGAAAUAGGACGUUUGAUUCUAUUUUGUUGGUUUCUAGGAUCGACGUAAUGAUUAAUAGGGAUAGUUGGGGGCAUUAGUAUUCAAUUGUCAGAGGUGAAAUUCUUGGAUUUAUUGAAGACUAACUACUGCGAAAGCAUUCGCCAAGGAUGUUUUCAUUAAUCAAGAACGAAAGUUAGGGGAUCGAAGACGAUCAGAUACCGUCGUAGUCUUAACCAUAAACUAUGCCGACUAGGGAUCGGAUGAUGUUAAUUUUUUAAUGACUCAUUCGGCGCCUUACG